AAUCGUAUGUACAAUGGUUGAGGUGGUGUUACCUCAGUGAUCAGGUGAAGUAGAUGGAGACAUAGUCAUCCAUACUCUCUUGGGUAUAGGCAGGGGCUGAAGUUGAGGCGGGAGGGUUAUGCUCGUUCUGUCUGGUCGAGCAUGUGGAAGCUCGUCUUUGCCUACUCCUUGGCUCUCUCAGCUCGAAGAUCACUUCCCGAGGCUCAAAAGAUGAAGCUCGGGGUGGAUCGAUCCUUUCAGCUCUCCUUGCAGCUGAGCUCCUUGAACCAAUCCUUCUUACUUCGGGGGUGGGAGAUGGUGGCCUUGGCUGAUCUGGAAGUCCUUGAGUUGAGCAGCCAUACUUCUUCAUUGUUCUCAUCUUCUUCUUGAAACCCUUCAUUGUUUUGCUGUGAAGGUUCCCAAGCUCUUCAAGCACACUGAGCUUCUUGUGAACUUCAGCUAUCUCAUCUCCUCCUUGGUCAGCACCUUCUUCAUAAUGACCUUGCUCUUGUUCGCUGGUCCCUGUUGAUACCGAAUCCCGCAAACUGGAUCUCUUAAGUAUUUCGAAGGCCCAUCAGUUUUCAAGCCCAAGAAGGACCAUGUUGCACAAAGGAGGUGGUCAAAUCUUGACAUUAAUUUGUAGUUUAAUUCAUGGAUUAAUGACUAUGGUCAAAGGAAUAAACUUGUCAUUCAAGUUUAUGAAUUGAUUGUGGAAGUUAUUUUGUGAAUUAAUUCUAUAAUUAAUAGCCAAAUAAUGGCACAUUGGAAGAAGGAAAGAGACUAUAAAAGAGAGGUGAAGACUCCAAGAAAAGGGAGCUAGAGAAUCUACAUUUUCACCACAAAUCUUAAUAUUAAACAUUGUUAUUUUCUGAUAAA
This 855-nucleotide small RNA is filed under the name Arabidopsis thaliana (thale cress). Its description in RNAcentral is "ATSL206140". Lineage: Eukaryota; Viridiplantae; Streptophyta; Magnoliopsida; Brassicales; Brassicaceae. The record is from RNAcentral.